RNAcentral lists this ribosomal RNA (460 nucleotides) under Mogibacterium timidum. Its description in RNAcentral is "bacterial SSU rRNA". It matches the Rfam family "Bacterial small subunit ribosomal RNA", at positions 28 to 484 of the family's 1533-position model. The record is from RNAcentral. Lineage: Bacteria; Bacillati; Bacillota; Clostridia; Peptostreptococcales; Anaerovoracaceae.
GAUGAACGCGGCGGCGUGCCUAAUACAUGCAAGUCGAGCGAGAAGCUUGGAAAUGACGCUUCGGUUGAUUUUCCAAGCGGACAGCGGCGGACGGGUGAGUAACGCGUAGGCAACCUGCCCCUGACAGAGGGAUAGCCAUUGGAAACGAUGAUUAAAACCUCAUGACACCGUAGUAGCACAUGCUACAUCGGUCAAAGAUUUAUCGGUCAGGGAUGGGCCUGCGUCUGAUUAACUGGUUGGUGAGGUAACGGCUCACCAAGGUGACGAUCAGUAGCCGACCUGGGAGGGUGAUCGGCCACAUUGGAACUGAGACACGGUCCAAACUUCUACGGAAGGCAGCAGUAGGGAAUCUUGCACAAUGGGCGAAAGCCUGAUGCAGCAACGCCGCGUGAAGGAUGAAGGCCUUCGGGUUGUAAACUUCUGUUCUAAAGGGAAAGAAAGAAAUGAACGGUACCUUAGG